RNAcentral lists this ribosomal RNA (435 nucleotides) under uncultured bacterium. RNAcentral's name for it is "partial 16S ribosomal RNA". It matches the Rfam family "Bacterial small subunit ribosomal RNA", at positions 28 to 507 of the family's 1533-position model. The record is from RNAcentral.
GAUGAACGCUGGCGGUAUGCUUAACACAUGCAAGUCGAACGGACUCUUCGGAGUUAGUGGCGGACGGGUGAGUAACGCGUGAGAAUCUGGCUUUGGGUUCGGGACAACCACUGGAAACGGUGGCUAAUACCGGAUGUGCCGAGAGGUAAAAGAGAAAUUGCCUGAAGAUGAGCUCGCGUCUGAUUAGCUAGUUGGUGAGGUAAAGGCUCACCAAGGCAGCGAUCAGUAGCUGGUCUGAGAGGAUGACCAGCCACACUGGGACUGAGACACGGCCCAGACUCCUACGGGAGGCAGCAGUGGAGAAUUUUCCGCAAUGGGCGAAAGCCUGACGGAGCAAUACCGCGUGAGGGAAGAAGGCUCUUGGGUUGUAAACCUCUUUUCUUAGGGAAGAACAAAAUGACGGUACCUAAGGAAUCAGCAUCGGCUAACUCCGUG